RNAcentral lists this unclassified non-coding RNA (723 nucleotides) under Hevea brasiliensis (rubber tree). The record is from RNAcentral. Lineage: Eukaryota; Viridiplantae; Streptophyta; Magnoliopsida; Malpighiales; Euphorbiaceae.
AAUCAGGAUUUUUUUUUUAAUAGUUCUGAAACAAAAUUUUGAUGACUAUUUAUUAUUUGAGAGGGCGCUGAGCACGCAUCCUUGUAAGAUAAUGUGAAGAUUUAUGCUUUCUGAUGCUACUUCUUAUCAGUUUGAUUUUAGGUGAUAUUGUUGCUGCGGGGAUGACCCCCUGAGCACUUAAUGGGAAGAUUUUAUUGCUGCUACUGAUCUUUGAAGCGGAAAGCAUCUAUUGAGAUACAACUGGAUAGAGUAGCUGACUGUUUUGGCAGAGAACAAGUGUGUGGCAGACACUUUGGAUCAUAAUACUUGAGGGUGAAUGCAUUAAGUGCAAUGUGUGAAAGAGAGGCAGAGGAUUGAUUAUAACUUGCAUAAUGUGGAAAACUGGGUGGACCAUACUGCUGCAGGAUUAGAAAAACUGCUUACAAAUUAACCUAUUAAUGAAAGUUGCUUUGAUGAUCACAAGGAGAACAAUUUGACGUAUCAUUCUCUCUUACUGUUUUAAAGCAGAGUCUACAAUUAAUAAGAGGCUGUUUGUGGCUUUAUUUUUCAAGUGAUUGUUAGUGGGGUUUCCACAUCCCACCUGCUGCUUGAUGGCUGGCUUUGCUCGUGUCUUUUCAAGCACGUGGCCUUUUACUUUAAAUCUUCUCAGGGAUAUGAUAUUGUGAUUAGCAUUCCAUCACUAGUAACUGAUACAUAUUUAUGCCUAUCAAUGAUGGAGCCUUG